Carassius carassius (crucian carp) is the source of this 736-nucleotide long non-coding RNA. RefSeq lists it as uncharacterized. The transcript is spliced from 3 exons. The record is from RefSeq and is a predicted model, not a curated record. Lineage: Eukaryota; Metazoa; Chordata; Actinopteri; Cypriniformes; Cyprinidae.
UCCAUCAGUCCUAUGAAAAACAGGAAAAAAAGAAAGAAAGAAAAUAGUGUGCGUUCAAUAUGUUUUCGCUUAUAGAAUUUGACAGGUUUGAGGUGAGGAGAAAGAGAGGAGAAGAAACGCACAAAAAAAUUGGCAGAGAAGAACUGCUAGCGCGUGGCUAAAAGAUUCGAGUGCAACCGAGUCAAGCUGAAUUACACAAGUUUACACAUGGCUGGCAUCUGAAAUGUGAGUAAGGGUUGGCAUCAUGUCUUCUCAGCUGUUCUGAAUCCAGACUGAAGCUUGUGUAAAUCCUGUGGCAAAAACAGAGAAACAAAUAGAGACAUAAUUAGCGUAGCUGCUGUUCUAACAAAGUAAAAUUAAUUAGUUUAACCCAAGCUAAAGAAUAAUAAUGCACAUCUGAUCAGAUAUAACUGCAGUCCAAGAUUAUGAGAUGGAUUAUUCGAAUGCUUGGUGAAAGAGAUGUGUUUUUAAUCUAGAUUUAAACAGAGAGAGUGUGUCUGAACCCCGAACAUUAUCAGGAAGGCUAUUCCAGAGUUCGGGAGCCAAAUGUGAAAAAGCUCUACCUCCUUUAGUGGACUUUGCUAUCCUAGGAACUACCAAAAGUCCAGCGCUUUGUGACCUUAGGGAGCGUGAUGGAUUGUAGCGUAGAAGACUAGUUAGGUACGCAGGAGCUAAACCAUUAAGGGCCUUGUAGGUAAGUGAUAAUAUUUUGUAGCUGAUAUGGAACUUUAUACUG